Molecule: ribosomal RNA, 253 nt
Filed under: uncultured bacterium
Lineage: Bacteria
Description: partial 16S ribosomal RNA
Rfam family: Bacterial small subunit ribosomal RNA
Source: RNAcentral
GACGGAGGGUGCAAGCGUUGCUCGGAAUCAUUGGGCGUAAAGGGCGCGUAGGCGGCCUGCUAAGUCGAACGUGAAAUCCCUGGGCUCAACCCAGGAACUGCGUCCGAUACUGGUUGGCUUGAAUCCGGGAGAGGGACGUGGAAUUCCAGGUGUAGCGGUGAAAUGCGUAGAUAUCUGGAGGAACACCAAUGGCGAAGGCAGCUCUCUGGGACGGUACUGACGCUGAGACGCGAAAGCGUGGGGAGCGAACAGG